GUCGUGAGACAGGUUAGUUU
Molecule: non-coding RNA, 20 nt
Filed under: Arabidopsis thaliana (thale cress)
Lineage: Eukaryota; Viridiplantae; Streptophyta; Magnoliopsida; Brassicales; Brassicaceae
Source: RNAcentral